GGGUAAGCGAGUGGACGUGCCUUCAGCAUGUCCGUCUCGAUUGGUAAUGGAAAAAGAGAAAAUAGAAACUACCGUAAGUGAUUUGUGGAAGCCAAGGAUAUCCAGAAGAAUGGUGAGUGGACAAGCAUAUGAGCCAACCGUUCCUCAGCAUGACUUCAGAAUGUAAUGCUCCAAUUUGGAUGCGUACUGCGCUUACUUCUGUGCUUAGGCGAAUUCAGUUUCCGACAAGGUAUUCGAGUGGGGCUCCUCUCGUAUCAGCGUCUGGCGGUGAGAGACACUUCAUCUGAUAGAGCCGGCGGUUAUUAUCGGCGACAACAUGGCUCCACCAUUGUUAAAAUUAUAUGAAUUUAUUGUUAAAGAAUUUUAUCUCAAAAAAUGUUGUAAAAUGUAAA
Molecule: long non-coding RNA, 392 nt
Organism: Schistocerca gregaria
Lineage: Eukaryota; Metazoa; Arthropoda; Insecta; Orthoptera; Acrididae
Exons: 3
Source: RefSeq, a predicted model, not a curated record